Molecule: ribosomal RNA, 197 nt
Filed under: uncultured bacterium
Lineage: Bacteria
Description: partial 16S ribosomal RNA
Rfam family: Bacterial small subunit ribosomal RNA
Source: RNAcentral
ACGCUCGACACCUACGGGGGCAGCAGUGGGGAAUAUUGCACAAUGGGGGAAACCCUGAUGCAGCGACGCCGCGUGAGUGAAGAAGUAUUUCGGUAUGUAAAGCUCUAUCAGCAGGGAAGAAGAUGACGGUACCUGAGUAAGAAGCCCCGGCUAACUACGUGCAAGCAGCCGCGGUAAUCUGAGCGGGCUGGCAAGGC